This 201-nucleotide microRNA precursor is filed under the name Oryza sativa Japonica Group (Japanese rice). RNAcentral describes it as "MIR812 microRNA precursor family". The stretch from base 25 to 201 matches the Rfam family "MIR812 microRNA precursor family", at positions 27 to 205 of the family's 205-position model. The record is from Rfam by way of RNAcentral. Lineage: Eukaryota; Viridiplantae; Streptophyta; Magnoliopsida; Poales; Poaceae.
AUUAAAUCCUUAUAUGCCCAUAAUCUCAACAGACUAUUUAUUUUAUUUGAAAAAAGUUUAUGAUCAAUAUUUUUAUUGUUAUUAGAUGAUAAAACAUAAAUAGUACUUUAUGUGUGACUAUUUUUUAAAAAAAAUUCAUAAAUUUUUCAAAUAAGACGAACGGUCAAAUGUUGGACACGGAUACCCACGGCUGUACUUAUU